RNAcentral lists this ribosomal RNA (468 nucleotides) under uncultured bacterium. RNAcentral's name for it is "partial 16S ribosomal RNA". It matches the Rfam family "Bacterial small subunit ribosomal RNA", at positions 28 to 507 of the family's 1533-position model. The record is from RNAcentral.
GAUGAACGCUGGCGGCGUGCUUAACACAUGCAAGUCGAACGGAAAGGCCCAAGCUUGCUUGGGUACUCGAGUGGCGAACGGGUGAGUAACACGUGGGUGAUCUGCCCUGCACUUCGGGAUAAGCUUGGGAAACUGGGUCUAAUACCGGAUAGGAGGAUGGUUUGGAUGCCAUUGUGGAAAGUUUUUUCGGUGUGGGAUGAGUUCGCGGCCUAUCAGAUUGUUGGUGGGGUAAUGGCCUACCAAGGCGUCGACGGGUAGCCGGCCUGAGAGGGUGUACGGCCACAUUGGGGCUGAGAGACGGGCCAGAGUCCUACGGGGGGCAGCAGUGGGGAAUAUUGCGCAAUGGGCGCAAGACUGAGGCAGAGACGCCGCGUGGGGGGUGACGGCCUUCGGGUUGUAAACUCCUUUCGCUAGGGACGAGGCGUUUUUGUGACGGUACCUGGAGAAGAAGCACCGGCUAACUACGUG